CUUCCGUAGGGUGAACCUGCGGAAGGAUCAUUAUUGAAUAAAGUCUGGUUAGAGGCCGUUGCUGGCUCAAUAAAGGAGCAUGUGCACGUCUCUUUAGAUGCCAGUUUCCAUUCACAUGUUCCUGUGCAUUUUUGUAGACACCUUGGAUUGAGGAACUUUGGCUAGUUUCUUGCUGUGAACUCAAGGUGUCUAUGUCUAAUAAACACGAAUGUAUGUAUUAUAGAAUGGUUUAUUGUCAAUGAAUAAAGUUAAAUACAACUUUCAACAAUGGAUCUCUUGGCUCUCGUAUCGAUGAAGAACGCAGCGAAAUGCGAUAAGUAAUGUGAAUUGCAGAAUUCAGUGAAUCAUCGAAUCUUUGAACGCAUCUUGCGCUCCUUGGUAUUCUGAGGAGCAUACCUGUUUGAGUGUCAUUAAAUUCUCAAAAGGCCCCUCUCUCUGAUUUGUUGAGAAGGCAUUUUGGAUACUGGGAGUUGCAGGUUUUAUAAAACCAGCUCUCCUCAAAUACAUUAGCAGGGAAAUAUGGCAUUUUCUCUAUUGGUGUGAUAAAAUCAUUUACACCAUGAAUAAGCCACUUAUAAUCCUGCUCUCGAAAACUUUUUACUGUCUUUGACAGUAAGUAGUAAUGACUAACUUGACCUCAAAUCAGGUAGACUUCCCCCCCCC
This 663-nucleotide ribosomal RNA is filed under the name uncultured Amanita. RNAcentral's name for it is "eukaryotic LSU rRNA". The stretch from base 257 to 410 matches the Rfam family "5.8S ribosomal RNA". The record is from RNAcentral. Lineage: Eukaryota; Fungi; Basidiomycota; Agaricomycetes; Agaricales; Amanitaceae.